ACACUGACUUCUGCUGAAGACAGAAAGCUGUGGUUUGUAGUAAAAGAGGCCGCCUUGACUCAGAGCUUACGUCUGCCUCUCCCACAGUUCAGCAUCCUGACAGAACAUGGAGCCAUGAAGGGGAGGAGGCCAGAGCACUGGCCACCCAUCUGUGUAAUACAGCCUGAGGCUGUGGCGCCAAGAGGGUCCUUCAUUCUGAGGCAUGGUGGUACGUGACUAGGAGCCCACACUCAAGAGGCCGUGGUACAGAAGCUUAAAGCCAUCCUCUGCUACAUAGGGAGUUUGAGGCCAGACUGGCGCACAUGAAAUGUUGACAAAGAUGGAGAAGCAGCUAUGAACAUCUGGGCCAGCUGUUCUCCGCAGGUAAAAUGAGUCACUGUACUGGUUCGUUUUGUCAACUUUGACAGACACAAGCUGGGGUCACCUGGGAAGACAGAACCUCAGUUGAGAAAAUGCCUCCCACCCCCAACAGAUUGGCCUGUAGACAAACCCGUGGAUCAUCAUCUUAUUUAAUGACUGGUGUGGGAGGGCCCCGACCCAUUGUGGAUGGUGCCAUCCCUAGGCAGGCAGCCCUGUUGUGCUUUUAAGAAAGCAGACUGAGCCAGCCACAAGGAGCGAGGCAGUAAGCAGCGUUCCUUCAUUGCUUCUGUUUCAGUUCCUGUCAUCCCUGAAUGCCCUCAGGGACAGAGUGUAAGCUGUAAACUGAAAUAAACCCCUUUCUCCCCAACAUACUUUUGGUCAUGGUGUUUACCACAGUCAAUAGAAAGCAUAGUGAGCACAUGGGGGCAACAUGGUGACUGAGCCUGCAUCAUUAGUAUUGUUCCUCGGCAGCUUAAACCUGCUAAAUGGGUUGGUAAACAGCUUGGCAGUUAGAGGGCUCGCUACUCUUGCACAGGACCUGGGUUUGGUUCCCAGCACCCAGGUCAGGAAACUCACAACCACCUCUUAACUCCAGCUCCUGCAGAUCUGGUGUCCCCUUGUGGUCUCCUCAGAUAGCCACAACUCCACUAGCAGUGUAUGAGAAUGCUAUAAUAACAGCAAUAACUAUUACUACUACUACUUCCUGGCCAAGAAGAUGACUGUGGGGAGAAAAAGACGAUAAGUAUUUGCUAAAGGCCAUCCCACGCCAGCUGUGUUUAUUUGUUGAACUCCAUCUCCAUGUCCGUGGACCAAACAGCCCUGGUCCUUUAGAUCUGUAGUUUAUAUAGUGCAUCUUUCAACACCCUGAAACCUUGACCCAAGUUGUAGCCGAAGGAAAGAGGGUUUCUGGUAAAUAUGGUUUCCAGUCAGGAGCCCCAAGUCAAGUCUCCCCAUCCCUCCUCUUCCUGGAGUAGACCACCUCUGUGGUUGGAACCACCUCUGUGGUUGGAACCGCUGGCAAGCCAUCAAAAAGGGAGGGUGGUUGACUUGGAGCUGAGACUGUAAGUGCUUAUAAGAAAUGAAAGACAUGGUUUGGGGUGAAAAAGUCAUGCUUCCGGGUACAAAGGCAAAGCCACUAAUAACCCAAGGAUUCGGCGUUCCAUCUGACCUGCUCUGAUACGGUCACUAUGGUGACAGUCUCCAUAAACAGCCUCGACAUAACCAAACGAAAGGAAACAAAACAAAACAGAAAAAGGAAGGAGAAACUUCCACCCUGGCGAUCUGGAGGUAUUUUAGGGAUCAAGGCAAUGUUGUGUGGGGUAAAUAUUGAAUGCAGAAUCUGUUCUUUUAAUAACUGGUCCUCCCUCCCUUUUGGGAGUCUGAACAAAGCCUCGGCAGAUCACAGAAUGAAGCCCCAGCCCAGUGUCUUCAGGGUUCAGAAAGUGCAGCCAAGAGAACGGAAACAAACGGGUACGGACAGACGUUCAGAUUCUUCUCACACCCUCCGCCUGGGACACUGAGCCGAGCCUUCUGUGGAGUCCAAGGGUGGAACAAGGUUCAUGUUCUCUGGAAAAGAGGCUGGGCUUUGGGCUCCAGGGAACUGAACUUGGUUCCCGGUCCCUGACCUUGAUUCCUGAGCCAGCAGCAGUGAUGGAGGGAAGCAUCUUUAAGCUACACCAAGUCUCUGGGGGCAUCUGCAUCUGCUGCAAAUUCCUUUGCCUCUCCCAGCCUCCUGCUACUCUCUUUGAAUCCCUGACUCAGCGAGCUGCAGUCCAAAGAGCAGAACUAACUAUGUUAUUUCUUCUUCUUCUUUUUUUUAAUGCCAA
RNAcentral lists this long non-coding RNA (2186 nucleotides) under Mus pahari (shrew mouse). Its description in RNAcentral is "lncRNA (MGP_PahariEiJ_G0003799.1)". Lineage: Eukaryota; Metazoa; Chordata; Mammalia; Rodentia; Muridae. The record is from RNAcentral.